RNAcentral lists this ribosomal RNA (465 nucleotides) under Vreelandella stevensii. RNAcentral's name for it is "partial 16S ribosomal RNA". It matches the Rfam family "Bacterial small subunit ribosomal RNA", at positions 338 to 795 of the family's 1533-position model. Lineage: Bacteria; Pseudomonadati; Pseudomonadota; Gammaproteobacteria; Oceanospirillales; Halomonadaceae. The record is from RNAcentral.
CCUACGGGAGGCUGCAGUGGGGAAUAUUGGACAAUGGGGGGAACCCUGAUCCAGCCAUGCCGCGUGUGUGAAGAAGGCCCUCGGGUUGUAAAGCACUUUCAGUGAGGAAGAACGCCUGGUGGUUAAUACCCAUCAGGAAAGACAUCACUCACAGAAGAAGCACCGGCUAACUCCGUGCCAGCAGCCGCGGUAAUACGGAGGGUGCGAGCGUUAAUCGGAAUUACUGGGCGUAAAGCGCGCGUAGGUGGCUUGAUAAGCCGGUUGUGAAAGCCCCGGGCUCAACCUGGGAACGGCAUCCGGAACUGUCAAGCUAGAGUGCAGGAGAGGAAGGUAGAAUUCCCGGUGUAGCGGUGAAAUGCGUAGAGAUCGGGAGGAAUACCAGUGGCGAAGGCGGCCUUCUGGACUGACACUGACACUGAGGUGCGAAAGCGUGGGUAGCAAACAGGAUUAGAUAGCCGUGUAGUC